UCCUUUUUUUAUUAUUGAAAGAUCGUCUAAUAAAUUAUUGAAUAUAAACAAUUACCCCAUGAUGGCUUACGUUAUACUGUCAAGCACUCGAAUAGUCGAGCGCGCUGUCCUCUGACAGCUCUUGUUUGUUCCGUUCUGUAUUUUCAAAACUUGUACAAUCAGUGGGGACAGUGAAUCUUCAUUAAGUAAUGUCUUUUAUGAAGGUUACCCAUAUUGAAUCAGUUAAAUGUGUAAAUCAGUACUUCAGAACGGAGCCAAUGCUCGUGCUUGCUACUGCAUGUUUUUCAACAUUCAUAUAUGCUAACAUAUAAUUAUGUCUCUGUAUCUGGGAGCUUAAAGCUUGCAUAAUUUAAAUAUAUAUUUCUUUCACAGUCUCAUUCAGAUUUAUUCAAAAUUUUGAUUAAACGGACGUGUUCACAGAUUUUUGUAUUUUUUAAAAAUGUCAUUCAAAAAAUUAACUAGAAAAACUAUUAAAUUUGAAAAAGUGUUAAAUAAUUUUAAUAACAAGGAAAAUGAUAAAAUAAAAAGAACAUGCCGACCAUGGGGUUCAAAGCACUAUAAGAAGCAAAUCUAAUCCUCUACCAAUCUACCAGCGCUUUUAAAUUUAAAUUGUCAUUGAAAUGCUUUGUCUGUAAAUACAUGUUGUCUAAAUUAUUGAUGCAAAUGCGUUAUUAUUGAUGUGGUUUUGAUUGAAGAUUAUCAAUAAACUAACAUACAUAUUUAACAUUUUCCUUUGUCAGGAGUGUUAUUUUGCUUCUUUUAAUAUACGGUAGUACGUUUAUUUCUCUCUUUUAAUUUGUUAUACAUAUUAUAAAAGUAUAAUUUUUUCCAAACAAGUCCCUUUGACCACUGCUCAAUUCUGACUAAAUUGGACUGAAUCUUGGUCUUAGAAAACACAUCGCCAUGACUCCAUCCAGAAAAACCUACCUGACAUAUGCCCAGCCACGCUUGUACGAAUCAAACCUUGAAAGUUUUGUCGAAAUCAACUCACCUCCUAACAGGCUUAGUCAAGUUCUAAUAUGUUAUUUUUAUGCACCCCUUCGAAGAAGAGGGGGUAUAUUGUUUUGCACAUGUCGAUGGGUCGGUCCGUCUGUCCGUCCCUUGGUCCAUCCACCAGAUGGUUUCCAGAUGAUAACUCAAGAACGCUCAGGCUUAGGAUCAUGAAACUUCAUAGGUACAUUGAUCAUGACUGUCAGAUGACCCCUAUUGAUUUUCAGGUCACUAGGUCAAAGGUCAAGGUCACAGUGACUCGAAAUAGUAAAAUGGUUUCGGGAUGAUAACUCAAGAAUGCUUAUGCCUAGGAUCAUGAAACUUCAUAGGAACAUUGAUCAUGACAGGCAGAUGACCCCUAUUGAUUUUCAGGUCACUAGCUCAAAGGUCAAGGUCACAGUGACAAAAAACGUAUUCAUUUACAAAAUGUCUUAACGUCUCCAAAAUAAACUGAUUAUGAAGUGCAGAUGAUGUGAAAUGUAGACUUGGUGAAGAUGAAUCAUGUGAA
This is a long non-coding RNA of Dreissena polymorpha, 1498 nucleotides long. RefSeq lists it as uncharacterized. The record is from RefSeq and is a predicted model, not a curated record. NCBI's taxonomy places the organism in Eukaryota, Metazoa, Mollusca, Bivalvia, Myida, Dreissenidae. The transcript is spliced from 2 exons.